AGGCUGCGGCUGCUACACAUGCAGUUGACGAACUUAUAUUAUAAAUAUAAGUUAAGUAGCGGACGGGUGAGUAACAUGUAAGAACCUACCUUUAGGAGGGGGAUAACCGCUGGAAACGGCGGCUAAAGCCCCAUAAACUGCGGAGUAAAAGGUGAAAACUACCUAAAGAUGGGCUUGCAUCUGAUUAGCUUGUUGGUGAAUUAACUGUUUACCAAGGCGAUGAUCAGUAGUUGGUCUAAGAGGAUGAUCAACCACACUGGGACUGAGACACGGCCCAGACCUCUACGGAGGGCAGCAGUGAGGAAUUUUCCGCAAUGGGCGCAAGCCUGACGGAGCAAUGCCGCGUGGAUGAUGAAGGCUUUUGAGUCGUAAAGUCCUUUUCUUAGUAAAGAAGAUAGACGGUAGCUAAGGAAUAAGCAUCGGCUAAUUCCGUGCCAGCAGCCGCGGUAAUACGGAAGAUGCAAGCGUUAUUCGGAAUUAUUGGGCGUAAAGCGUCUGUAGGUGGCUUUUUAAGUCUGCUGUUAAAUCUCAAGGCUUAACCUUGAAAAAGCAGUACGAAACUAAAAAGCUCGAGUUUAGUAGAAGUAAAGGGAAUUCUCGGUGUAGUGGUGAAAUGCGUAGAUAUCGGGAAGAACACCUGUGGCGAAAGCGCUUUACUGGGCUAAAACUGACACUGAGAGACGAAAGCUAGGGGAGCAAAUAGGAUUAGAUACCCUAGUAGUCCUAGCUGUAAACGAUGGAUACUAAGUGUUGGACAAAAAAAAGUUCAGUGCUGUAGCUAACGCGUUAAGUAUCCCGCCUGGGAAGUAUGCUCGCA
This 817-nucleotide ribosomal RNA is filed under the name uncultured Alphaproteobacteria bacterium. RNAcentral's name for it is "bacterial SSU rRNA". It matches the Rfam family "Bacterial small subunit ribosomal RNA", at positions 33 to 890 of the family's 1533-position model. Lineage: Bacteria; Pseudomonadati; Pseudomonadota; Alphaproteobacteria. The record is from RNAcentral.